CAUCAUGGGAGAGUGCUACUAUUCAAAAUGGCUUCGGAUACAGAAUCAGGGUCAGAGUACGAGGUUGUGAAGAUUUUGCAACAAAGGCGCAGACGAGGCCUGACAGAAUUCCUGGUACGAUGGAGUGGCUUUGGACCUCAGGAAGAUUCUUGGGAACAAGAAGGCAAAUUGAAAAACUGUGGAAAACUUAUUCAAGAUUUCGUUAAAUCAAGCUUGACACCUGCUAAGAAAACAACAAAGAGGGCUUCUAGGUCACGAUCUUCAUCACGAUCGAGGUCAAGGUCACGGUCAAGAGGUAGAGCAUCAUCGAAAAGCCGAAAAUCUCCUUCGAGGAAAAAGGUAGCCACUCCAGUGACAGAGAAACCUGUGAGCAUCCGUCAGUCAAGGAGGUUAACUGCUGGUGCUGAUGUUGUAAAGGAAACAACAACUACAACCACAAGAACGGUGGAGGAAUUAAAACCGUUAAACAGUGUUGAUGAGGAUGUCAAACGAACAGUGGUUAAAGAAACCUGGACAACAAAGACCACACAAGCAAAGUCAACUGAUGACCGUAAACCAGCAUGGCAGCCUCAGCUUCCAGAGUUCCUCCGCCUGAACACAUCCGAUGUUCCUGUCAUGAUCAUCUUCUCGUGUAUAACCAUCAUCACACUUUGUUUUCUGCUGGAAAGAUAUGUCGAUUUUGAAGCGGUAUGGAACAGUCUGGCUGCAGGGUGUGAGGCAGUUAUUGCCCAAGUUGAGAGUCUAAGAUCAGGAAGUGAAAAGGUUGCGGCAGGAAAACAAAAGUGAAGCCCUUAGGACUGGACGAUUUUGACGUGAUUAUCCCUCCCAACCAUAAACUGUACAGACUGAAUGCAACAGGCAGCAUGUUUCUCCUCCUCUUGACAAAGAGUGUACUGGACGCGUGGAAGUGCCAUGGAGAGAGACAAAGUAUCGUUCUCCUCCUCCUCCUCCUGACGAAGAGUGUACCGGACGUGUGGAAGUGCCACGGAGAGAGACAAAGCAUUGUAAAAAGAUGUUGUGACGGAAUAUGUAAAUUACCCCUUGCUAACCAUGUAAACACUGUAAUAUUCUUAAACAUUUUUAACCUAGUAUUGUUGAUUUUUUUAAUGAAAUGUGUUAACUAUUUUACUAAGAAGUAUUAGGUAAGCUACUCUUUGCAAUUACAAUUAAUCCUCUUACAAAAGUAAUGAAAAUAUUGUAUACCGGUCAAGUAAUUUCUGUUUAAUGUUUUCUUCUCUUUUUUUUUCAUGUGGUAGAUUCCAAUGAGUUUUGUGUUUGUAACAGUUACGUAUAAUUGACCGUCUCAUGUCUGUGGAACCUUGCAAUUGUGCUUUGUGACAUGUGACUGAACGACUGUUGAAAGCUAUAUUUUAUAAAGCUGGUUGUAAAGUGGUAGUGAAAUCAGGGAUUUGGGUUCAGGGAGAUAGCUCAAUACUCCUCUACGAUGGCUGGCUGGCUGGUCCACUGUAAAUAUUGUGCACAGCUUAAUCAUUGUGAAACUUUGCUUCAAGAAUUGUCCUCUAUAUUUUAAGCUCUAACAGGUAGUAAACUUUUUAGGAUUGCAAUCUCUUAUCAAAACUUAAGCUUGAAUGACAAAGAGCUUCUUUCCGGGAGGUCAAACAAUUUACUCAUUCACCCCUGAAGACACAUUUGAACUCUUCCAAUUCAAAGGUUGGGAUAGUUCAUAAUAAAACUCCAGAGGUGAAUAAGUUAAUGAACUGCAAUAUAAAAUAUAAAAUCAUGCCAAUCAACAUAUGAUGAACUGGUUAUGUGAUGCCUUCCAAGGUCUUGCUAGUGAUUUCUUCUGAAACAGUCAGAUACAUAUGUUUUAGACUAACCACAAGUAAACUAACAAUAGGAUGGUAUUAAAGAUAUAUCCAAAUAAAGCAUGUUACAAUAACUGCUAGGGACCAAAGUAUGACAUGUUUAAAGUGCUGAAUGAAAUCAUUGGUAAACGUGUUAAUGUUGUAUAUACAUGUGUUAUCUAGUUUAGUCUAUAUGAGAGUAAACCAGUCUUAGUAAAAAGAUUAAAACGAUGUUGAAGAAAGGUAUACACACAUCCUCCAACUGACAGGUGAACUUCCUGUUCCAACUGACAGGUGAACUUCCUGUUCCAACUGACAGGUGAACUUCCUGUUCCAACUGACAGGUGAACUUCCUGUUCCAACUGACAGGUGAACUUCCUGUUCCAACUGACAGGUGAACUUCCUGUUCCAACUGACAGGUGAACUUCCUGUUCCAACUGACAGGUGAACUUCCUGUUCCAACUGACAGGUGAACUUCCUGUUCCAACUGACAGGUGAACUUCCUGUUCCAACUGUCAGGUGAACUUCCUGUUCCAACUGACAGGUGAACUUUCUGUUCCAACUGACAGGUGAACUUCCUGUUCCAACUGACAGGUGAACUUCCUGUUUGUUGAUGAUACCAAGGUCAACUUUCACCAGUUGAAGCAUUCAAUCUGUACAAAAUGCCAAGACCAAUCAAAUAAUUGUAUUGUUGAUCCUAGUCACAAAUUUCUACUUGGCCAUCGAACAUUUUAAUUUUUAAUUUUACGUGCACAUGUGAAAAUUGCAACAUCUGAUGCAGAAGAUCAUGUCUUGUGUCUUUUAUAACCAACCAUUUACAAUUAUUAAACAGAAAAUAUAUUCAUACAGCAAUUUUGCUAUCAUUUGUGUAAAGCUGACAUUUCAUUUUAUUAUCAUUUUAUAUGUCGGUUGACUAUGUACUACCCACCGUUUUGUGUAGGUCCCCACCAAUCCAUAGCUUUGUGUGUAUCAGUCCAAGUGCAAUGAUAUCCAUGUAUUGUUCUCCCAGGAAACUUUCAGAAAGGAUCAAGGUAGUUGUCUACGUUCUGUAGAGGCAGCAUACAAGUAGCGUGACAAGGUUGGCUUUACAUAGAAUCAUGUUAGAAGAAAGAAAGGGAGCAUGAUACUCUCGCAAAAUCAGGCAAAGAGCGAAGACAGAAUGCUUAAAAAAGGAAAUAAAAACAUGCCUGUUUGAGAUAGUUAAAUGAUGUGUUGUGCAGAUAGAAAUGUCUCUGGAGAACUGUUUAUACCUGCUUACAACAGCAUGGAUACCUUAUUUCAACAUAAUCUCACCAUUUACCUUUUUGAAGUAUAUUUUCUUAAACACUUCAGUAGUAAUGCCUUGCAUGGGCUCAUUGAAUUGUCAUAUAUGUAAUUUUUUAUUGACAGAUUUUCAUGCACGUUUAAAUGAUGUUUCUUGUUUCUUGAUGAAAACUUAAUGGAGUGAUUACAGGUCUCGCACGCAGCUGUUUUAUUAGAAUCCGCAAAAUUUUAAUGCGGAAGUUGUUGGAAAACUGACAAAAUGGUGGAAGUAUCAACAUGUGGUGUUAAGUGUACGACUGUGUGUUACCUGUUUGUGUGUUUAUAUCAUUACAAA
RNAcentral lists this unclassified non-coding RNA (3402 nucleotides) under Mizuhopecten yessoensis (Yesso scallop). Its description in RNAcentral is "testis-specific chromodomain protein Y 2-like, transcript variant X1". The record is from RNAcentral. Lineage: Eukaryota; Metazoa; Mollusca; Bivalvia; Pectinida; Pectinidae.